AAUUCCAAGUUUUCAAUUAUUAGUAUUACAACAGCUGUAAGACGUUUUCGUUUUGAUUUUUAUAAUUGGCUACAUAUGUAUAGCAUAUGUUACCAUUUUAAACCAGAGGUUUUUUAUAUUUUUUUAUUUUAUUUUUUAACCUUUUUCGGUUCCACUUCAUCUUUCAUUUGAAACAAAAAUGCACCACAAAAUAAAAAAACCCUGCCCAUAAAUUCUUGAUCAUUUUCCUGGACAGAGCAGAGCCUGAAUUUGAAGUUUAUGAGUUCUGAUAUGAAGUUUUUUGAGUUUUUGUGUUUAUGAUAUAUAUAUUUCUCAAAAACAUAUACAGGGUUUGCACCAGUAUUUCUCAUGCUAGUUCCGCCCCUUUAUAGUCCUUUGUGGUGGUAGAAGUCAAGAAACUUGUGGAGCCAAAACAAUGUUCUAUAUGAGGAAGAUUCAAGAAGAUUUUGAUUUUGCAGCAAUCAAGCAGAUGUUUGGAAAGCUAAUGCAAAUGCAAAUGGCUUGCUUUUCCAUCUCCUUAGUGGAUUCUAGAGUUCACAUUUUUUUCUUUAUAAUUUUUCUGUUUUGCUGUGUAUUUGAUUUUUGAUUGUGGUGUUUUGCUGCGAAAGGCGGUGGUUUGUGGUGGUGAAAGUGGCGGUGAUAUUGGCGGGGACGGCUCAAUCUUCUUUCAUGGUACCAAUAUUUAUCUAUAUCAUCAUGAUCUUGAUUUUAUCUAGUGCAAAAAUAUAUAUUGUAACUGUUGAUUAUGCAGCAGCAUUACAUUUCUUUUUGUCGUUCUCAAUGAUUUUCUCAUUCUAUAAAAAUAU
This 806-nucleotide long non-coding RNA is filed under the name Nicotiana benthamiana. RNAcentral's name for it is "long non-coding RNA (NBEN_LNC027736)". Lineage: Eukaryota; Viridiplantae; Streptophyta; Magnoliopsida; Solanales; Solanaceae. The record is from RNAcentral.